This 73-nucleotide transfer RNA is filed under the name Stegodyphus mimosarum. It matches the Rfam family "tRNA". Rfam says of the family: Transfer RNA (tRNA) molecules are approximately 80 nucleotides in length. Lineage: Eukaryota; Metazoa; Arthropoda; Arachnida; Araneae; Eresidae. The record is from Rfam by way of RNAcentral.
GCCUUUGUGGUGUAAUGGUCAGCACACUGAGCCGGUAUUUCAGAGGUCCGUGGUUCAAUUCCCGGCGAAGGCA